CCUACGGGCGGCUGCAGUGGGGAAUCUUCCGCAAUGGGCGAAAGCCUGACGGAGCAAUGCCGCGUGAGUGAUGAAGGAAUUCGUUCCGUAAAGCUCUUUUGUUUAUGACGAAUGUGCAGGUUGUGAAUAAUGAUCUGUAAUGACGGUAGUAAACGAAUAAGCCACGGCUAACUACGUGCCAGCAGCCGCGGUAAUACGUAGGUGGCAAGCGUUGUCCGGAAUUAUUGGGCGUAAAGAGCAUGUAGGCGGUUUUUUAAGUCUGGAGUGAAAAUGCGGGGCUCAACCCCGUAUGGCUCUGGAUACUGGAAGACUUGAGUGCAGGAGAGGAAAGGGGAAUUCCCAGUGUAGCGGUGAAAUGCGUAGAUAUUGGGAGGAACACCAGUGGCGAAGGCGCCUUUCUGGACUGUGUCUGACGCUGAGAUGCGAAAGCCAGGGUAGCGAACGGGAUUAGAUACCCCGGUAGUC
Molecule: ribosomal RNA, 465 nt
Filed under: Salmonella enterica subsp. enterica serovar Montevideo
Lineage: Bacteria; Pseudomonadati; Pseudomonadota; Gammaproteobacteria; Enterobacterales; Enterobacteriaceae
Description: bacterial SSU rRNA
Rfam family: Bacterial small subunit ribosomal RNA
Source: RNAcentral